This 429-nucleotide ribosomal RNA is filed under the name Pseudomonadota bacterium. Its description in RNAcentral is "Proteobacteria bacterium partial 16S ribosomal RNA". It matches the Rfam family "Bacterial small subunit ribosomal RNA", at positions 355 to 776 of the family's 1533-position model. Lineage: Bacteria; Pseudomonadati; Pseudomonadota. The record is from RNAcentral.
UGGGGAAUAUUGGACAAUGGGCGAAAGCCUGAUCCAGCCAUGCCGCGUGUGUGAAGAAGGUCUUCGGAUUGUAAAGCACUUUAAGUUGGGAGGAAGGGCAGUAAGCGAAUACCUUGCUGUUUUGACGUUACCGACAGAAUAAGCACCGGCUAACUCUGUGCCAGCAGCCGCGGUAAUACAGAGGGUGCAAGCGUUAAUCGGAAUUACUGGGCGUAAAGCGCGCGUAGGUGGUUCGUUAAGUUGAAUGUGAAAGCCCCGGGCUCAACCUGGGAACUGCAUCCAAAACUGGCGAGCUAGAGUAGGGCAGAGGGUGGUAAAAUUUCCUGUGUAGCGGUGAAAUGCGUAGGUAUAGGAAGGAACACCAGUGGCGAAGGCGACCACCUGGGCUCAUACUGACACUGAGGUGCGAAAGCGUGGGGAGCAAACAGG